This 1247-nucleotide long non-coding RNA is filed under the name Gadus morhua (Atlantic cod). RNAcentral describes it as "lncRNA (ENSGMOG00000031154.1)". Lineage: Eukaryota; Metazoa; Chordata; Actinopteri; Gadiformes; Gadidae. The record is from RNAcentral.
AGAAAAGACAAGCUGCAAAAAAAAUCUGCUGCUGCUAAGGAGGAUGAGGAGGAGGAGGAGGAGACACCAGGGAUGUGUCGGCCUCAUAGGUGUUGUUGUCCCUCCUCCAAGCUUGGGGGGGAGAUGGGCCUCCCCGGGUCCCCAAGCUUGACGGACAUCCGUUCAGCCAUGGCCACAUACAACUUCUCAGUGAGUCUCAGUGAGAUCAUGUGGCACGACGCACACACGCAAGAGCGCUUUGAUGCGCUCCAUAAAAAAUUACCACGGGCCAAGCAGAUGAGGGACCUCUUUGUCUGCCUGGCACAGCAGGAGCCCUCAUCCGAUUCCUCCUCCUCCUCCCCCGUUCCUGCUGCUGCUGGCUCCUCCUCCCCCGCUCCUGCUGCUGCUGAAAUAGCAGAAGAGAGUAGGUGGAUUUCAAAUCUUCUGGAUUGGCUUGUGUGCAACAUUGAACAACACCGUCAUCUGGGAACAUGACUUUCGAAGCAAGAGACGAAUGCACCAAAAGCUACACGCGCGUGUCCGCAUGCAUCUUUGGAAUAGAAAACCACGUUCCAUUCACCAUGAAGUAAAAGUUUAGAUAUUUUUUUUAUGGAAAAAACGACAAUCUCGUAAUCACGGUCCUUAUAUAACUCACUUGACAUUUUCUGAAUCUACAGGUCGGACAACAGCGUUUGAGAUUUCCUGACUUUUUCAGAGAUAUAUAUAUAUAGCUAUAAUGACAAGAAAAUAGUCAAAAUAUACACUUAACCUAAUGUAUCCUGAAGACCAAGAGAUACAUCCUUUCAGAAAUUCACGUGAAUGUAAAAGCUCCAAGGUGGAUAGGCAAUCUUCAUAUAUUGUAUUUAUUUUUUAGCUCAAAGCCAAAAAACAGCCAAGAAUGCAUAGGUCCAAUCCCGUAAUAUCCCCUGCAGCACGGGGACUUUAGCUGGUGUAACAGGUGUCGAUCUGCGUUGUGUUCUGGCAAAUGCGUUGGAAGGGUGGAAGGACGGCUGGACAACAAUGGAGGGUUUCUCAUUUAUUGGUAUCUGGAUCUGGAUGAGCCAAAGAAAAUCAUGUCAUCGCAUGUAAACCGUUGUAAACCGUCAUAGCCAGGACCACAUUCCCGCCUAGCAAACAAACAAACGGAUACUCUGACGCACAUAUAGACAAUAAACUCUCAAAAAGUAAAUUUGCAAAGCGUUAGCUGUUAUAACAGUGCUGUAGCAUGUUCAUAUAUAACAUUUACAUUAUCUACGAAACGAUUUAUA